GUGAAUCAUCGAAUUUUUGAACGCAAAUUGCACUCUUUUCGGAGAGUAUGCCUGUUUGAGGGUCAGUAUUAUUAAAAAUCGGUGUGUUGGUUCUUUGUGUUGUCCCGGAGGUUGGGUUAUUUUAAUAUGUUUUAGGUUUUAAGGGGCUUAAAAUUGAUUUUUUUUGUGUAUUUUAGUUGUACAUAAAUUAUUUUUUUUUUUCGUUUGUAUUAAUGCUCAACAU
This 223-nucleotide unclassified non-coding RNA is filed under the name Glomeraceae sp. RNAcentral's name for it is "partial contains 5.8S ribosomal RNA and internal transcribed spacer 2". The stretch from base 1 to 65 matches the Rfam family "5.8S ribosomal RNA", at positions 84 to 154 of the family's 154-position model. Lineage: Eukaryota; Fungi; Glomeromycota; Glomeromycetes; Glomerales; Glomeraceae. The record is from RNAcentral.